UGUAUAGUAAGCUAACAAAGCUUUUGGAUUCAUGCUCCUCUUAUAGAAGUUUAAAUCUUCUCUACACUU
RNAcentral lists this transfer RNA (69 nucleotides) under Scotoplanes sp. TT-2017. RNAcentral describes it as "tRNA-Met". Lineage: Eukaryota; Metazoa; Echinodermata; Holothuroidea; Elasipodida; Elpidiidae. The record is from RNAcentral. RNAcentral also lists the same sequence under 2 other names.